Manduca sexta (tobacco hornworm) is the source of this 1708-nucleotide long non-coding RNA. RefSeq lists it as uncharacterized. The transcript has 2 exons. NCBI's taxonomy places the organism in Eukaryota, Metazoa, Arthropoda, Insecta, Lepidoptera, Sphingidae. The record is from RefSeq and is a predicted model, not a curated record.
UUUAAAUAAAUCAUUCGAACGAUAUCAUUGUUUAUUAAUUUAUUUACGUACACUAUGCACGACACUUAACGUGCAUGAUUCAGUGCACAAUUCAUUUUCAGCAGCCGCAUUGAAAGAUAAUCUUUAAUCAUUAGAAAGACCUCACAGUUAACACCGGGGGAAACCUGCGAAUGGGAUACUGGAACCUCCAGCUCAGCGCCUGCUGGGGACCUGGAGGAAUGUUGGAAGAAGAUAGCUGGAAAGGAAGUGUUGGGGAAGGAGAAGGGACCAUCUUAGGAUGAGCGGAGGGGAGAGGGCCAGGGAAUGUUGGCGAGCCCUUAUACGCCUCAAUCUGAAUUUGGCAACCAAGAGGUAUACACAUUCCACUAUGUGCCUAGGACCGCGGCACAAUAUCCUCCAUGCAGGGGCGUACAUUCGGUGUGGAGACCGAGUGCCCAAGAAUUACGUCAGUGGGCACUUGAAGUCAAUUAGGUACCUCUCCCUAUAGAUACUAUUACUUUAAAAAUAAUAAUCAUAUCAACCCUGUAUUAUUUACUGUCCUCCUGCUGCGCACGAGCCUCUUCAACUACUGAAAGCAAUUAGGCCUUAGUCCACGCUGGGCUAGCGCGAAUUCACAUAUCCUCAAAAUUCCUAUAGAGAACUUCUCAGGUCAACAGGUUUCCCCGCGAUGUUUUCUUUCACAAAGAAGAACAAGAUAAUUAACAAAGAAUACACAUAUCACUUUAGAAAAUUCAUUGUCCCAGCAGUUCAUUCCACAUUCAAUUAGGCUAUCGCCGCUUCAUUCCUCUACCACUUUACUUCAUCGUUUUUUAUACAGUAUUGUAAAGUUGACUUUACCUUUACUUCUGCUGUGUAAAUCUUUGAAUUUAUUUAUCAAUACGUUGGUCAUAAAUUUUUAUUGUGGUAUUCGUAUAACAGGAUUCAUUACAUAUCGUUAUCAAUACAAAACGUAUUAAGAAUGCGUCAUUUAAUUAGCAUCGACAGUCUGUCAUUGCUUGUAUAUGUCGAAUUAUAAUAUUAUGUAUAUACAAUAUUAGCUGAAGCUAUAUUGCUUUAACUUUACGUGCAUGAUAGGUGCAGAUAAAAGGUUUAUUUCGGCUACAAAUUACACGCAGUAUAUCUUUGAAUAUAUAUAGACAACAAACAAGUACACAUCCAUUUGUGAAAUGCUGUAGCCGCAAUUAGGCUCCAACCCAGCAAUAUUCAUUGCUCCAAGAAGUAAAGUGCUGGAAAUUCAGUUGGUACCUAGUAUACAGGCCUUAAUAAAUAUUUAUCUACCCCAAGUGUCAUGCUUAAACAUGAAAUAUAAAGAAAACAAGAGUAUAUAAAGUGCAUUUUCAUCUAAGACUAAAAUGCAAACAAAACAAACGCAUACAAUAAAAUCAGCCCUGUGUUAUAUACUGUACCACUGCUGGGCACGGGCCUCUUCAUACUUUGCCGGGUUCGGAAAAUUUCACCUAUCGCCACUGGUUUAUACCUAUUAUUUAAAUAGGUUGAAUCAUAAUUUUAAAUGACAUUUUCUAACACUUGAUAAUAUAGAGUUGAUGAGAAAUUUAUGUUUCACUUUAUUCAAUCAUUUGACUUUCAAAUACAUUCUGAAUAUAAUCAACAAACACCGACACAAACUUUGCGAUGCCGUGAUCGUACUUUAACUAAAAUCAAUGUAAAAUCUAUAGUUAGGUCUAAUAAAAUCUAUUUUUGAAACAGA